CUAUUUUGAGUCGAGUGAGUGAGUGAACUAUUUUGAGUCGAGUGAGUGAACUAUUUUGAGUCGAGUGAGUGAACUAUUUUGAGUCGAGUGAGUGAACUAUUUUGGAUCAAGUGAAUUUAUUUGAGUCUAUCUUGAAAUAUUGUGCCAUUCUCUUAUUUUGUUUCACUCGAAGACGAUAUAUAGUCAAUUCUUAAGUCAGUUUCAAAUAAGUACAGCAAUUCUUAAGUCAGUUUCAAAUAAGUACAGCAAUUCUUAAGUCAGUUUCAAAUAAGUACAGCAUUUCUUAAGUCAGUUUCAAAUAAGUACACCAAUUCUUAAGUCAGUUUCAAAUAAGCACAGCAAUUCUUAAGUCAGUUUCAAAUGAGUUCAAUUCUUAAGUCAGUUUCAAAUAAGCACAGCAAUUCUUAAGUCAGUUUCAAAUUAGUUCAAUUCUUAAGUCAGUUUCAAAUGAGUCCAGUUCUUAAGUCAGUUUCAAAUAAGCACAAAAAUUCUUAAGUCAGUUUCAAAUAAGCACAGCAGUUCUUAAGUCAGUUUCAAAUUAGUUCAAUUCUUAAGUCAGUUUCAAAUGAGUCCAGUUCUUAAGUCAGUUUCAAAUAAGCACAGCAAUUCUUAAGUCAGUUUCAUAUAAGCACAAAAAUUCUUAAGUCAGUUUCAAAUAAGCACAGCAAUUCUUAAGUUAGUUUCAAAUAAGCACAGCAAUUCUUAAGUCAGUUUCAUAUAAGCACAAAAAUUCUUAGGUCAGUUUCAAAUAAGCACAGCAAUUCUUAAGUCAGUUUCAAAUUAGUUCAAUUCUUAAGUCAGUUUCAAAUAAGCACACCAAUUCUUAAGUCAAUUUCAAAUAAGUACAGCAAUUCUUAAGUCAGUUUCAAAUUAGUUCAAUUCUUAAGUCAGUUUCAAAUAAGUACAGCAAUUCUUAAGUCAGUUUCAAAUAAGCACAGCAAUUCUUAAGUCAGUUUCAAAUUAGUUCAAUUCUUAAGUCAGUUUCAAAUAAGCACAAAAAUUCUUAAGUCAGUUUCAAAUGAGUUCAAUUCUUAAGUCAGUUUCAAAUAAGCACAGCAAUUCUUAAGUCAGUUUCAAAUGAGUUCAAUUCUUAAGUCAGUUUCAAAUAAGCACAAAAAUUCUUAAGUCAGUUUCAAAUAAGCACAAAAAUUCUUAAGUCAGUUUCAAAUAAGCACAAAAAUUCUUAAGUCAGUUUCAAAUUAGUUCAAUUCUUAAGUCAGUUUCAAAUAAGCACACCAAUUCUUAAGUCAGUUUCAAAUAAGCACACCAAUUCUUAAGUCAAUUUCAAAUAUGUACAGCAAUUCUUAAGUCAGUUUCAAAUUAGUUCAAUUCUUAAGUCAGUUUCAAAUAAGUACAGCAAUUCUUAAGUCAGUUUCAAAUAAGCACAGCAAUUCUUAAGUCAGUUUCAAAUAAGCACAAAAAUUCUUAAGUCAGUUUCAAAUAAGCACAAAAAUUCUUAAGUCAGUUUCAAAUAAGUGCAGCAAUUCUUAAGUCAGUUUCAAAUAAGCACAGCAAUUCUUAAGUCAGUUUCAAAUAAGCACAGCAAUUCUUAAGUCAGUUUCAAAUAAGCACACCAAUUCUUAAGUCAGUUUCAAAUAAGUGCAGCAAUUCUUAAGUCAGUUUCAAAUAAGUACAGCAAUUCUUAAGUCAGUUUCAAAUAAGCACAAAAAUUCUUAAGUCAGUUUCAAAUUAGUUCAAUUCUUAAGUCAGUUUCAUAUAAGCACAAAAAUUCUUAAGUCAGUUUCAAAUAAGCACAGCAAUUCUUAAGUCAGUUUCAAAUGAGUUCAAUUCUUAAGUCAGUUUCAAAUAAGCACAGCAAUUCUUAAGUCAGUUUCAAAUAAAUACACCAAUUCUUAAGUCAGUUUCAAAUUAGUUCAAUUCUUAAGUCAGUUUCAAAUAAGCACACCAAUUCUUAAGUCAGUUUCAAAUAAGCACACCAAUUCUUAAGUCAGUUUCAAAUAAGUACAGCAAUUCUUAAGUCAGUUUCAAAUAAAUAGUCAUUUUAAGGUAAUAGUUAAAGUUCACCUACAUAUUUAUUUAAAAAGCUCAAUUACUUAACCUAAUUUAAGUGUAACUGGAUAUAUGCAAUUUCAAGGUGAUAAUUUGGAAGUCCAGUUAUUUAAAAAGCUCAAUUACUUAACUAAAUGUAUUAAAUGUAAUGAUAUAUGUAAUUUUAAGGGAUAUGUAUAAUUUUUAAAGGGAUGUGUAACUAUAUUUCUACAAUGUAUAUUUUUUAAAGGGACGUGUAACUAUAUGCUUACAAUGUAUAUUUUUAAAGGGCAAACAUACAUUUCUAAAGACAUGUAUAAAUAUUUUAGAGAUAAACGUAUAUUUUUGUGACAUUUUUCAAGGUAUACACUUUUAGAUUUUAAUUAUUAAUAGGUUGUAUAUUUGUAAGUAUUAAUAUUUCUUAAUUAAAAGGCAAACAUACAAUUAUAAAGGCAAAUAUUUUAGAGAUAAACGUAUAUUUUUAUGACAUUUUUACGGUAUACACUUUUAGAUUUUAAUUAUAAUAAGGUUGUAUAUUUGUAUGUAUUAAUAUUUCUCAAUUAAAAGGCAAACAUACAAUUAUAAGGGCAAAUAUUUUAGAGAUAAACGUAUAUUUUUAUGACAUUUUUACGGUAUACACUUUUAGAUUUUAAUUAUAAUAAGGUUGUAUAUUUGUAUGUAUUAAUAUUUCUUAAUUAAAAGGCAAACAUAUAAUUAUAAGGGCGAAUAUUUUAGAGAUAAACGUAUAUUUUUGUGACAUUUUUCAAGGUAUACACUUUUAGAUUUUAAUUAUUAAUAGGUUGUAUAUUUGUAUGUAUUAAUAUUUCUCAAUUAGAAGGCAAACAUACAAUUAUAAGGGCAAAUAUUUUAGAGAUAAACGUAUAUUUUUAUGACAUUUUUACGGUAUACACUUUUAGAUUUUAAUUAUAAUAGGUUGUAUAUUUGUAUGUAUUAAUAUUUAUCAAUUAAAAGGCAAACAUACAAUUAUAAGGGCAAAUAUUUUAGAGAUAAACGUAUAUUUUUGUGACAUUUUUCAAGGUAUACACUUUUAGAUUUUAAUUAUUAUAAGGUUGUAUAUUUGUAUGUAUUAAUAUUUCUCAAUUAAAAGGCAAACAUAUAAUUAUAAGGGCAAAUAUUUUAGAGAUAAACGUAUAUUUUUGUGACAUUUUUCAAGGUAUACACUUUUAGAUUUUAAUUAUUAAUAGGUUGUAUAUUUGUAUGUAUUAAUAUUUCUCAAUUAAAAGGCAAACAUACAAUUAUAAGAGCAAAUAUUUUAGAGAUAAACGUAUAUUUGUAUGACAUUUUUAGGACAUACAGGUUUAGAUUUUUAAGUAUAAUGUAAUAUAUAAGUGUUUAUCAUUAAUUUGUAAACUGUGAAAACUUUGCCAUCUUGAAAAAAAUUACUGAUAACACAACCAGU
This is a long non-coding RNA of Portunus trituberculatus (swimming crab), 3409 nucleotides long. RefSeq lists it as uncharacterized. The transcript is spliced from 2 exons. NCBI's taxonomy places the organism in Eukaryota, Metazoa, Arthropoda, Malacostraca, Decapoda, Portunidae. The record is from RefSeq and is a predicted model, not a curated record.